Molecule: ribosomal RNA, 17 nt
Filed under: Gymnosporangium clavipes
Lineage: Eukaryota; Fungi; Basidiomycota; Pucciniomycetes; Pucciniales; Gymnosporangiaceae
Description: partial 5.8S ribosomal RNA
Source: RNAcentral
GUACACCUGUUUGAGUG